RNAcentral lists this ribosomal RNA (197 nucleotides) under uncultured bacterium. Its description in RNAcentral is "partial 16S ribosomal RNA". It matches the Rfam family "Bacterial small subunit ribosomal RNA", at positions 328 to 540 of the family's 1533-position model. The record is from RNAcentral.
ACGCUCGACACCUACGGGAGGCAGCAGUGGGGAAUAUUGCACAAUGGGGGAAACCCUGAUGCAGCGACGCCGCGUGAGCGAAGAAGUAUUUCGGUAUGUAAAGCUCUAUCAGCAGGGAAGAAAAUGACGGUACCUGACUAAGAAGCCCCGGNUAACUACGUGCCAGCAGCCGGUAGUAUCGAGCGGCGNGNGACGAG